Molecule: ribosomal RNA, 1037 nt
Filed under: Leptobacillium sp.
Lineage: Eukaryota; Fungi; Ascomycota; Sordariomycetes; Hypocreales; Cordycipitaceae
Description: SSU rRNA
Rfam family: Eukaryotic small subunit ribosomal RNA
Source: RNAcentral
UAAGCAAUUAUACAGCGAAACUGCGAAUGGCUCAUUAUAUAAGUUAUCGUUUAUUUGAUAGUACUUUACUACUUGGAUAACCGUGGUAAUUCUAGAGCUAAUACAUGCUAAAAAUCCCGACUUCGGAAGGGAUGUAUUUAUUAGAUUAAAAACCAAUGCCCUUUGGGCUCCUUGGUGAAUCAUGAUAACUUCUCGAAUCGCAUGGCCUUGCGCCGGCGAUGGUUCAUUCAAAUUUCUUCCCUAUCAACUUUCGAUGUUUGGGUAUUGGCCAAACAUGGUCGCAACGGGUAACGGAGGGUUAGGGCUCGACCCCGGAGAAGGAGCCUGAGAAACGGCUACUACAUCCAAGGAAGGCAGCAGGCGCGCAAAUUACCCAAUCCCGACUCGGGGAGGUAGUGACAAUAAAUACUGAUACGAGGCUCUUUUGGGCCUUGUAAUUGGAAUGAGUACAAUUUAAAUCUCUUAACGAGGAACAAUUGGAGGGCAAGUCUGGUGCCAGCAGCCGCGGUAAUUCCAGCUCCAAUAGCGUAUAUUAAAGUUGUUGUGGUUAAAAAGCUCGUAGUUGAACCUUGGGCCUGGCUGGCCGGUCCGCCUCACCGCGUGUACUGGUCCGGCCGGGCCUUUCCCUCUGUGGAACCUCAUGCCCUUCACUGGGUGUGACGGGGAAGCAGGACUUUUACUGUGAAAAAAUUAGAGUGCUCCAAGCAGGCCUAUGCUCGAAUACAUUAGCAUGGAAUAAUGAAAUAGGACGUGCGGUUCUAUUUUGUUGGUUUCUAGGACCGCCGUAAUGAUUAAUAGGGACAGUCGGGGGCAUCAGUAUUCAAUUGUCAGAGGUGAAAUUCUUGGAUUUAUUGAAGACUAACUACUGCGAAAGCAUUUGCCAAGGAUGUUUUCAUUAAUCAGGAACGAAAGUUAGGGGAUCGAAGACGAUCAGAUACCGUCGUAGUCUUAACCAUAAACUAUGCCGACUAGGGAUCGGACGAUGUUAUUUUUUGACUCGUUCGGCACCUUACGAGAAAUCAAAGUGUUUGGGCUCC